GUCACAAAAACUUUAAAAGAAGUGCAAUUCUCAAAAGGUUAGGUGGACUAAAGCAUUCUGUAAAGCAACUGCUAAUAAUGAGCUUACAGUGGAUUUGAAUUUGAAAAAUAUAGUAACAAGCCUGUCAAAUAUCUGCAAGAACUAUGGAAUAAAACUACUGAUGCAGUGAAGACAGUUGAAAAGAUCAAACAAAUGCCAAGCUAUAUUUAUAAUGAACAAAUUCAAGAAAAAGGACUACGGAAAGUUCAGGACAUCAAAGAAGUCAGGCAAAACUCAUCUUGACCCCUGUUGCAGGCAAAGGAACGCAGCUGGAAGAAAAGAUGAUAUAACAGUUAACAGGAUGCAGACAUGGCAGAGGUUUCCUAAAAAUCUCAUUAUCUAUAACCAUUUCUAUAUUUACAUUUGAAAAUCUCCUUUGGAGACUUAGAACCUCUAAAUUAUUGACUUAUUUUUUAUAUAAGGUCACUCCGAUGAAAGGUGAUUACAAAAUCAUCUACAUUGCUGUCUACAAAACAGAUAAUAUGGAUGUUUGAUCGCAUCUCAUUGUUAACUCUUUACUGAUAUGUUUGUAAAUACAGAAGUGAAAUGUGGACAUAAAAUAGUUACGCUAUUUGGUUAAUGGUACUAGACAACAUGUAAUUAAUGACAUUCAAAAAUUUAUGGCUAGUGAUAUAUAUAAAGUAAAAUUUUCUUUGCAGUAAAAUAUGCCCUUUAUUAUAGAAGGGAGGAUAUAAGGAACCAACAGUUUGUAUGAAAAUAGCUCAAAUAAUAUCUUUUAUUUUGAUUUUAAUAUUUCUUAUUUUGGUUUAUUAGUGUCUUAGAACAAAAUGGCCUUAUAUAAUGAAGCCUAGUUAUGCUGGACUGUUUUGAUCUCUUUUAAUUGUUCUGACAGAUAGUUGGGGAUGAGAGCCGAAUAAGGUUUGCCUGAAAUAACUGACACUAUAUAAUUUCUGCUUUGGCAAAUACUAAGUUCUAACUUGUCAUUCCUGGUAGAACAAGCUUUAUUUUUCGAGCCUAGCAAUGAUCUAGAAGCAGAUGUUAUCUCAGUGCCUUUUGCAAUUUGUUGUGUGGGUUUUUUUUUUUUUAAAGCCACACAAUAAUUUUGGAAAACAAUGUAUGGGUAGAACAUGUGUCUGUUAAUUGCACACAAAACCACUUUUAAUGGGUACAGAGUUAAAUUUGAAGGAAUAAGUUCUAGCUGAAGUAUUAUGAACUCCAAAUAAUGCUUUGAGGACCUCCAAAGCUACAACCAAGCAGAAUCUCUUUUUUUUGGAGGUCCUCGAAGCAUUAUUUGGAGUUGAUAAUACUUCAGCUUCAAUUUGGAGUUGAUAAUAUUUCAGCUAGAACCUAGUAGAAUCUGUUUUUUUCCUUUGGAGGUCCUCAAAGCAUUAUUGGAGUUCAUAAUACUGAAGCUAGAACCAAGCAGAAUCUGUUUUUUUCUGAGGAGUAUCGGUAGCAUAAAUGUGAUUAUAAACAUAGUACACUUGAUAUAUGGAGGCAGUGACAGCUAUUUUUACAAAAUUUAAAUCUGCAAAUGGAUUCAACAUGUUUAUGGGUUAUUAAAAUUGUCUGAUUUCUUAGGUUCUUUAUAGUACACGUGUUGAAAAUAAAUGAUUAAGAAUUGUUUCAAGAAUGCAAUUAUUUGAUCUUAAAUUUUUAUGAGUUGUUAAAAUAGAAAUUAUUUGAAUAUCAUAUAUUUGGGUAACAAAAGGCACAAGUCUGAAUGUGUUUCUUUUUCUGGAAUGGCCAUGCCUGCCCACUUUAGAAAUACAAAUAUCACUGGGCAGCUUGAAGCAGUUGGGAGCCUCCAAUGAGAGCAACUUGAGAGAAUGAUGUUGCAAGUUAGUAGGAGUAAGAAAUGCUGUGUUCUCCCUGUCUUCUCUUAGGUCACAUGGCAGCCUGGCCUAAGUGAUCGUGAAUGGUCUAUAAGGGAGGUAGCUGGGACAGGGAGGGGAGUUUGGGCUAGCCACCGUACCACUUGUCAGCGUGAAAAGUAAGAUUGUAAUUGCCUGUUUAGUUUUCUGCCUCAUCUUUGAAAGUUCCACCAAGCUGGGAACCUCUUGAUUGUGAGGCACAAAUGUAAG
Molecule: long non-coding RNA, 2084 nt
Filed under: Homo sapiens (human)
Lineage: Eukaryota; Metazoa; Chordata; Mammalia; Primates; Hominidae
Description: HSALNT0191033
Source: RNAcentral